This 1098-nucleotide ribosomal RNA is filed under the name Pantoea stewartii. RNAcentral describes it as "bacterial SSU rRNA". It matches the Rfam family "Bacterial small subunit ribosomal RNA", at positions 61 to 1169 of the family's 1533-position model. Lineage: Bacteria; Pseudomonadati; Pseudomonadota; Gammaproteobacteria; Enterobacterales; Erwiniaceae. The record is from RNAcentral.
AUCGGACGGUAGCACAGAAGGAGCUUGCUCCUCGGGUGACGAGUGGCGGACGGGUGAGUAAUGUCUGGGAAACUGCCCGAUGGAGGGGGAUAACUACUGGAAACGGUAGCUAAUACCGCAUAACGUCGCAAGACCAAAGUGGGGGACCUUCGGGCCUCACACCAUCGGAUGUGCCCAGAUGGGAUUAGCUUGUAGGCGGGGUAACGGCCCACCUAGGCGACGAUCCCUAGCUGGUCUGAGAGGAUGACCAGCCACACUGGAACUGAGACACGGUCCAGACUCCUACGGGAGGCAGCAGUGGGGAAUAUUGCACAAUGGGCGCAAGCCUGAUGCAGCCAUGCCGCGUGUAUGAAGAAGGCCUUCGGGUUGUAAAGUACUUUCAGCGGGGAGGAAGGUGCUGAGGUUAAUAACCUCAGCAAUUGACGUUACCCGCAGAAGAAGCACCGGCUAACUCCGUGCCAGCAGCCGCGGUAAUACGGAGGGUGCAAGCGUUAAUCGGAAUUACUGGGCGUAAAGCGCACGCAGGCGGUCUGUUAAGUCAGAUGUGAAAUCCCCGGGCUUAACCUGGGAACUGCAUUUGAAACUGGCAGGCUUGAGUCUCGUAGAGGGGGGUAGAAUUCCAGGUGUAGCGGUGAGAUGCGUAGAGAUCUGGAGGAAUACCGGUGGCGAAGGCGGCCCCCUGGACGAAGACUGACGCUCAGGUGCGAAAGCGUGGGGAGCAAACAGGAUUAGAUACCCUGGUAGUCCACGCCGUAAACGAUGUCGACUUGGAGGUUGUUCCCUUGAGGAGUGGCUUCCGGAGCUAACGCGUUAAGUCGACCGCCUGGGGAGUACCGCCGCAAGUUGAAACUCAUAUGAAUUGACGGGGGCCCGCACAAGCGGUGGAGCAUGUGGUUUAUUUCUAUGCAACGCGAGGAACCUACCUACUCUUGACGUCCCUCCAGCUUACAUAAAUGAAUUGGUGCCUUCGCGACGCUAAAACAGUGCUGGUGGCUGUCGUCACUCCUCUCUGAAUGUUGGUUUAUUCCCUCACCAGCGCACCCUUAUCCUUGUUGCUGCGAUCGUCGGAACUCAAGGAAAUACCGGCACAGCCGGACA